Molecule: long non-coding RNA, 842 nt
Organism: Homarus americanus (American lobster)
Lineage: Eukaryota; Metazoa; Arthropoda; Malacostraca; Decapoda; Nephropidae
Exons: 3
Source: RefSeq, a predicted model, not a curated record
GCUGUUCUUAUAGAUCGCUUGGUGACGAAAACUACUUAUGGCCUCUAUUGCUGCCAUGGCUGUAGCACUUGCUACAAUUGCAAUCUGUGAAGUAGCAACCAAACAUGGAGCAGGAGGCAGUUGGGUUGCAAAUUGCUGCCAUCAUCUACGUGAGUGCUUACUCCUGGUGUUGGGCCCAUCACCUGGGUGCUGGUUGGAGAGAUGUUCCCUCAGGCUGCUAGAGAAAAGGCCUCUGCUAUCAUCUCAGUACUUAACUGGUUUUUAGCUUUUAUAAUCACCAAGACCUACUUUAGGUUGGAAUCUUUGGCUGGAAUUGCAGGUACCUGCACACUCUACAGCAGUGUAUGUGUCAUUGGACUGAUACUCGUGUAUUUACUUGUUCCGGAGACCAAGGGGCGGACCCUUGGGGAAAUAGAGGCCUACUUUACAUAUACUCGACGCUCGUGGAGAGUUGUGAAAAACAAACGUGAUGUGGCUCUGUCUAGCAUCUUGGAACAAGAAGGAGGAACAUCAGAUUCUUACAGUACAUUCCCAUCUGCAGAAUAAAGUGUUUAUCUCAAGCCCAUUUCCAUUUUGUAAGCACAUUUACUUAAAUCUUUUUAUGACCAUGGGAGUUGCAUUCUUGUACAGUACAAUGUUGUGUAUAUGGAAUCUGCUCCAAUAGAGAGUAACAACAUGUGAGAAAGAAGGGAGGUUUCUAUGUUUAUAAGUUCUGCCAUCCAUCAACUAUAUUUAACUACAGUAUAAAUAUUCCAAUAACUAUAGUUAUACAGUACAGGUUGACAAUCCCUUAUCCAAAAUCCUUGGGGCCAGAGGGAUUUCGGAAUUUUUCGGUUUUCAGA